Molecule: long non-coding RNA, 3888 nt
Organism: Salvelinus fontinalis (brook trout)
Lineage: Eukaryota; Metazoa; Chordata; Actinopteri; Salmoniformes; Salmonidae
Exons: 2
Source: RefSeq, a predicted model, not a curated record
ACAUCACCGAUGCACUUGCUAAUAAACUCGCUCACCGAAUAAGCAUAUUCAUCAAUGUUAUUGUCCGACGCUAUGCGGAACAUAUCCCAGUCCACGUGAUCGAAGCAAUCUUGAAGCGUGGAAUCCGAUUGGUCGAACCAGCGUUGAACAGACCUGAGCACGGGCGCUUCCUGUUUAAGUUUCUGUCUAUAGGCUGGGAGCAACAAAAGUCGUGGUCAGAUUUUCCCGAAAGGAGGGCGGGGGAGGGCUUUAUAUGCGUCGUGGAAGUUAGAAUAACAAUGAUCAAGGGUUUUGCCAGCCCGAGUCGCGCAUUCGAUAUGCUGAUAAAAUUUAGGGAGCCUUGUUUUCAGAUUAACCUUGUUAAAAUCCCCAGCUACAAUAAAUGCAGCCUCAUGAUAUGUGGUUUCCAGUUUACAUAGAGUCAAAUUAAGUUCUUUCAGGGCUGUCGAUGUGUCUGCUUGGGGGGGAUAUACACAACUGUGAUUAUGAUCGAAAAGAAUUCUCUUUGUAGAUAAUGCGGUCGGCAUUUGAUUGUAAGGAAUUCCAGGUCAGGUGAACAAAAGGACUUGAGUUCCUGUAUGUUGUUAUGAUCACACCACUUCUCGUUAAUCAUAAGGCAUACACCCCCGCCCUUCUUCUUACCAGAGAGAUGUUUGUUUCUGUCGGCGCGAUGCGUGAAGAAACCAGGUGGCUGUUCCAACUCUGACAACGUAUCCUGAGUGAGCCAUGUUUCAGUGAAACAGAGAAUGGUACAAUCUCUGAUGUCUCUGGAAGGCAACUCUUGCUCGGAUUUCGUCUACCUUGUUGUCAAGAGACUGGACAUUGGCGAGUAGUAUGCUCGGGAGCGGUGUGCAAUGUGCCCGUCUAUGGAGCCUGACCAGAAGACCGCUCCGUCUACCCCUUCUGUGGCGCCGUUGUUUUGUGUCCCCGGCUGGGAUCCGAUGCAUUGUCCUGGGUGGUGAACCAAACAGAGGAUCUGCUUCGGGAAAGUUGUAUUCCUGGUCGUCAUCUGUUCCUAAAUUAUGCUCUCUGGUGUAUUUUGAACAUUGAGAGCGGACUCCUGCGGUUGGAUAAUAAAAUGUAAUAAAAGUGUUUUCUGCCUCUCGGGCUGCAUACGGGUUUAGGUCCAACCCCUGUAAGGCCCUGCGUUAAUCUGGCCUUGCACGCAGUCCUGCUCUGUCCUAACACAAUCAGUCCUACUCCUUCCUUAGCACAAUCUUUUUUUUGCUACACAGAGGCAGGAUAUUGGGAGAGUCAGUAAAGAAAAGAUCACACGACCUCAUUGACGUUGACCUGUAUCAUGGGGAUUCAUGUUGCAGGUGCUUUGGCUGCUGAUUUCUACACCACGCACCUGAAAGCAUGUAUGCACUGAGUGGCUCAUGUGUGAACAUCCCUUGUUCAUUUAAUAUUUCUGAGGAAAAGAGGAAUGAAUAUUACAGUACACAACCUACCUUUGGAGUGUGGUUGAAAAAUGCAGACCAAUUUGAUCAGUAUCCAAACAAGGUGAUCUUCAAUGGUGGUAAGACAAGCAACAUUUAUUAAGUGGAUAUUAUUGGAAACCUGUCCCAGAUCAACUGCAUCACGGUCUUCUUCAAUGUAACCACCAGUUACACUGAUAAAUACUUCUUCAGGAUUGAGAAUAGACCAUUCCUUCUAACAUUCAUAUGGAGGCAUACUCAAAUAUAAGUCAAGUAAGAAAUCUGUUUAGUUGUUUAUAAAGUAUUUUCUCUCGUUACGAAGUAAGAAAUCUGUUUAGUUGUUUAUAAAGUAUUUUCUCCUGUUACGAAGUAAGAAAUCUGUUUAGUUGUUUAUAAAGUAUUUUCUCCCGCUUCGAUUACUUGUAUCAAAUUAUAUACAAAUGUAAACAAGUGGCCAAAUGGGGAGGUCAGAUUCACACAGCUGCCCACUGAUAAUGGAUCAGCUGGACUGAUGGAGGCCGACAGAAAAGUGCUUUAUGUUUGUGUUUGCAAGUAUUACAGAUUUGCCUCUCAGACCCAACAUUACUGUCUCAGGUGAGGUAAAAGGAGGACACACCUGUCAGUUUGAACUGCUCUGCUGUCGCACCUUGUCCUGAACACCCCGCUGAGCUGAAAUGGACUCUCCCAACAAAGUCCACACCUAAGAAACAACAAGAAAAUCCAGACCAAACCAAAUCAGUUCUAUUCACAGUGACCUUCACACCUUCAUCAGGAGAAAAACAUAACUUUACUGCAGUCUAUCCAGUAAGCUACAAGACAUCUGACCAUAUCACAACGCUUAAUGUUUUAGAGCGGCAGGUAGCCUAGUGGUUAGAGUGUUGGGCCAGUAACUGAAAGGUUGCUAGAUCAAAUCCCCGAGCUGACAAGGUAAAAAUCUGUCGUUCUGCCCCUGAACAAGACAGUUAACCUACUGUUCCUAGGCUGUCAUUGUAAAUAAGAAUUAUUUCUUAACUGACUUGCCUAGUUAAAUAAAAAUCUAAUAUUUGGGGCCUGUAAAUCUAUCAUUAUGAUUUCACUGAUGAUUAUGGUAUUGAUCAGACAAUUCACUAUAGCAGAUGCACUCUUCAUUAACCCCUCUCCCUCAGUCUCUCUUAAGGACACCUCAGUCUCCCUCAGUACAGCUGACCCAGUAUCAGUGGGCAGUUGUGUGAAUCUGAACUACAGCCAAACAUCCUGUGACAAACUUUACCUGGUUCCAGAUCAGUGGGGGUAAACCAGCCCGGGUAGCAUCUGGACAGACGCCCUCAAUGUGACUGUUGGUGAUGGAGGGCUGUACUACUGUGAAGCAAGAGAUGAUCACAGCAUUGAGAAUUCAAUGAAAGUGCAGCUAGCAAUUGAAGAACUCCCUGUUUGGGACGGUGCACACUAACCAGGCGACGGCCGAAGAGGAACCAGGGGAACCAGCAGAAGACCAGCCUGAGUAGAUCCACUACGGCGAGGAACCAGAGGAACCUGCAGAAGACCAGCCUGAGUAGAUCCACUACGGCGAGGAACCAAAGGAACCUGCAGAAGACCAGCCUGAGUAGAUCCACUAUGGCGAGGAACCAGAGGAACCUGCAGAAGACCAGCCUGAGGAGAUCCACUACGGUGAGAUAGACUUCUCCAAACUUCGGCCCAAAGAGACCCCAGCUGUAGCCCUGGACAGGGAACAGGAGCAGGAGAGUGAAUACGCUGAAGUCAGUGUGAACGGGAGAGGGGCCCAGGAACCUCCAGUUAACAACCUAGAUGGGGUUUAUGCACAAGUGGAUAAGAAAAGUGCAUUUUAAGUAUUUUUGGUAUGUACAGUAUGUAUUGAGUAUUUGUUUUCUAUUGGCAGAUUUUUAUUUCUAACUUUGUGCAACUCAAUUAUUUGCAUAUUUGUUGAAUUUUCUGAUGUGAAAAGUGCUUAACUGAUUAAAAGUGUGGGUUCCACAAGCUAUAGCGAAUUCACCUGAUUGUGCAACUGAAGGCAGUUUAAAGCCAUAUAAAGUCAACUAUGACUGCAUUGCUUAUUCUGGGGUUUUAGGCUCGGUUUCUGUAUAAGCACUUUGUGACAACUGUUGUUGUAAAAAGGGCUCUAUAAAUACAUUUAAAUGGUUGAUUGCUUGAGGAGAGACACAAAAUUAGCUGGAGACAGUGGUUUGCAACAAGACAGGAAGUUGGUGAAGUAAGUGUAAAUAGCCUGACUGAUGAUCAAAUCUAUUGGUCACCGUUUCCCUUUUCUUUAAUACAGUUAUCUUUAUAAUAUUAUAUACACUCCAUGUAUCUUUUUAGGAGUUUUCAUUUUAUGUUGAGUGUUGAUCAAAAGACACAAUUGAGGCAGAUUUUGAGGAUGUUUAUUAAUUGCAUCGUACUAAAAACGUUUAAAUGAAAUUUCCAUUGAAUGUAUUAUUGGUCCAACAUUGAACAUAAAGUAAACAUUAUAUCAUUA